Molecule: ribosomal RNA, 195 nt
Filed under: Salmonella enterica
Lineage: Bacteria; Pseudomonadati; Pseudomonadota; Gammaproteobacteria; Enterobacterales; Enterobacteriaceae
Description: partial 16S ribosomal RNA
Rfam family: Bacterial small subunit ribosomal RNA
Source: RNAcentral
AAAUUGAAGAGUUUGAUCAUGGCUCAGAUUGAACGCUGGCGGCAGGCCUAACACAUGCAAGUCGAACGGUAACAGGAAGCAGCUUGCUGCUUCGCUGACGAGUGGCAGACGGGUGAGUAAUGUCUGGGAAACUGCCUGAUGGAGGGGGAUAACUACUGGAAACGGUGGCUAAUACCGCAUAACGUCGCAAGACCA